AAUAACUUUAUUAUUGCCUCUAGGGCAUAUUUCCUUCAGUCUCCCACUUGCACUAGAGUCAAUAAUCUAGAUUACAUAGUAAUGAUUCUAACACCCAUGGAGUCUUGGUGCUGAUCAUGUUUUGCUCGUGAGAGAGGCUUAGUCAACGGGUCUGCAACAUUCAGAUCCGUAUGUAUCUUGCAAAUCUCUAUGUCUCCCACUUGGACUUGGUCCCGAAUGGAAUUGAAGCGUCGCUUGAUGUGCUUGGUCCUCUUGUGAAAUCUGGAUUCCUUUGCCAAGGCAAUUGCACCAGUAUUGUCACAGAAGAUCUUCAUUGGUCCCGAUGCACUAGGUAUGACACCUAGAUCGGAAAUGAACUCCUUCAUCCAGACUCCUUCAUUUGCUGCUUCAGAAGCAGCUAUGUACUCCGCUUCACAUGUAGAUCCUGCCACAACGCUUUGUUUAGAACUGCACCAACUUACAGCUCCAUCGUUUAAUAAAAACACGUAUCCGGUCUGCGAUUUAGAAUCGUCUGGAUCAGUGUCAAAGCUUGCAUCGACGUAACCAUUUACGACUAGCUCUUUGUCACCUCCAUAUACGAGAAACAUAUCCUUAGUCCUUUUUAGGUAUUUCAGGAUGUUCUUGACCGCUGUCCAGUGAUCCACUCCUGGAUUACUUUGGUACCUACCUGCCAAGCUUAUUGCUAAGCAUACGUCAGGUCUGGUACACAGCAUUUCAUACAUGAUAGAGCCUAUGGCUGAAGCAUAGGGAACAUCUUUCAUUUUCUCUCUAUCUUCUGCUGUGGUCGGGCAUUGAGUUUGACUCAACUUUACACCUUGUAGCACAGGCAAGAAUCCUUUCUUUGCCUGAUCCAUUUUGAACUUUUUUUCCAAAUUUUGUCAAGGUAUGUACUUUGUGAAAGUCCUAUUAAGCGUCUUGAUCUAUCUCUAUAGAUCUUGAUGCCCAAUAUGUAAGCAGCUUCACCGAGGUCUUUCAUAGAAAAACUUUUAUUCAAGUAUCCCUUUAUGCUAUCCAGAAAUUCUAUAUCAUUUCCAAUUAAUAAUAUGUCAUCAACAUAUAAAACUAGAAAUGCUACAGAGCUCCCACUCACUUUCUUGUAAAUACAGGCUUCUCCAAAAGUCUGUAUAAAACCAUAUGCUUUGAUCACACUAUCAAAAACGUUUAUUCCAACUCCGAGAUGCUUGCACCAGUCCAUAAAUGGAACGUUGGAGCUUGCACACUUUGUCAGCACUUUUUGGAUCAACAAAACCUUCAGGUUGCAUCAUAUACAACUCUUCUUCUAGAAAUCCAUUCAAGAAUGCAGUCUUGACAUCCAUUUGCCAAAUUUCAUAAUCAUGAAAUGCAGCAAUAGCCAACAUGAUUCGGACGACUUAAGCAUCGCUACGGGUGAGAAAGUCUCAUCGUAGUCAACCCCUUGAACUUGUCGAAAACCUUUUGCAACAAGUCGAGCUUUGUAGACAGUAACAUUACCAUCAGCGUCAGUCUUCUUCUUAAAGAUCCAUUUAUUCUCAAUGGCUUGCCGAUCAUCGGGCAAGUCAACCAAAGUCCAUACUUUGUUUUCAUACAUGGAUCCUAUCUCAGAUUUCAUGGCCUCUAGCCAUUUUGCGGAAUCUGGGCUCAUCAUCGCUUCCUCAUAGUUCGUAGGUUCAUCAUGGUCUAGUAACAUGACUUCCAGAAUAGGAUUUCCGUACCACUCUGGUGCGGAUAUUACUCUGGUAGACUUACAAGGUUCAGUAGAAACUUGAUCUAAAGUUUCAUGAUCAAUAUCAUUAGCUUCCUCACUAAUUGGUGUAGUUGUCACAGGAACCGGUUCUUGUGAUGAACUACUUUCCAAUAAGGGAGUAGAUACAGUUAUCUCAUCAAGUUCUACUUUCCUCCCACUCAUUUCUUUCGAGAGAAACUUCUUCUCUAGAAAGGAUCCGAUUUUAGCAACGAAAAUCUUGCCUUCAGAUCUGUGAUAGAAGGUGUACCCAAUUGUCUCCUUUGGGUAUCCUAUGAAGACACAUUUCUCCGAUUUGGGUUCGAGCUUAUCUGGUUGAAGUUUCUUCACAUAAGCAUCGCAGCCCCAAACUUUGAGAAACGACAACUUUGGUUUCUUGCCAAACCACAGUUCAUAAGGCGUCGUCUCAACGGAUUUUGAUGGUGCCCUAUUUAACGUGAAUGUGUCCGUCUCUUAAGCAUAACCCCAAAACGAUAGCGGUAAAUCGGUAAGAGACAUCAUAGAUCGCACCAUAUCAAGUAAAGUACUAUUACGACGUUUGGACACACCAUUUCACUGUGGUGUUCCAGGUGGCGUGAGUUGCGAAACUAUUCCACAUUGUUUCAAAUGUAAACCAAACUCGUAACUCAAAUAUUCUCCUCCACGAUCAGAUCGUAGAAACUUUAUUUUCUUGUUACGAUGAUUUUCUACUUCACUCUGAAAUUCUUUGAACUUUUCAAAUGUUUCAGACUUGUGUUUCAUCAAGUAGAUAUACCCAUAUCUGCUCAAAUCAUCUGUGAAGGUGAGGAAAUAACGAUAUCCGCCACGAGCCUCAACAUUCAUCGGACCACAUACAUCUGUAUGUAUGAUUUCCAACAAAUCUGUUGCUCUCUCCAUAGAUCCGGAGAACGGUGUUUUGGUCAUCUUGCCCAUGAGGCACGGUUCGCAAGUACCAAGUGAUUCAUAAUCAAGUGAUUCCAGAAGUCCAUCAGUAUGGAGUUUCUUCAUGCGUUUAACACCGAUAUGACCUAAACAUCAGUGCCACAAAUAUGUUGCACUAUCAUUAUCAACUCUACAUCUUUUGGCUUCAACAUUAUGAAUAUGUGUAUCACUACUAUCGAGAUUUAAUAAAAAUAGACCACUCUUCAAGGGUGCAUGACCAUAAAAGAUAUUACUCAUAUAAAUAGAACAACCAUUAUUCUCUGAUUUAAAUGAAUAACCGUCUCGCAUCAAACAAGAUCCAGAUAUAAUGUUCAUGCUCAACGCAGGCACCAAAUAACAAUUAUUCAGGUCUAAAACUAAUCCCGAUGGUAGAGGUAGAGGUAGCGUGCCGACCGCGAUCACAUCGACUUUGGAACCAUUUCCCACGCGCAUCGUCACCUCGUCCUUAGCUAAUCUUCGCUUAAUCCAUAGUCCCUGUUUCGAGUUGCAAAUGUUAGCAACAGAACCAGUAUCAAAUACCCAGGUGCUACUGCGAGCAUUAGUAAGGUACACAUCAAUAACAUGUAUAUCACAUAUACCUUUGUUCACUUUGCCAUCCUUCUUAUCCGCCAAAUACUUGGGGCAGUUCCGCUUCCAGUGUCCAGUCUGCUUGCAGUAGAAGCACUCAGUUUCAGGCUUAGGUCCAGACUUGGGUUUCUUCACUUGAGCAGCAACUUGUUUGCUGUUCCUUUUGAAGUUCCCCUUCUUCUUCCCUUUGCCCCUUUUCUUGAAACCAGUGGUCUUGUUGACCAUCAACACUUGAUGCUCCUUUUUGAUUUCUACCUCCGCGGCUUUCAGCAUCGCGAAGAGCUCGGGAAUAAUCUUGUUCAUCCCUUGCAUAUUAUAGUUCAUCACAAAGCUCUUGUAGCUUGGUGGCAGUGAUUGGAGAAUUCUGUCAAUGACGCUAUCAUCCGGAAGAUUAACUCCCAGUUGAAUCAAGUGAUUAUUAUACCCAGACAUUUUGAGUAUAUGCUCACUGACAGAACUGUUCUCCUCCAUCUUGCAGCUGUAGAACUUAUUGGAGACUUCAUAUCUCUCAAUCCGGGCAUUUGCUUGAAAUAUUAACUUCAACUCCUGGAACAUCUCAUAUGCCCCAUGACGUUCAAAAUGUCGUUUGAAGACCCGGUUCUAAGCCGUAAAGCAUGGCACACUGAACUAUAGAGUAGUCAUCAGCUUUGCUCUGCCAGACGUUCUUAACAUCGUCAGUUGCAUCAGCAGCAGGCCUGGCACCCAGCGGUGCUUCCAGGACGUAACUCUUUUGUGCAGCAAUGAGGAUAAUCCUCAGGUUACGGACCCAGUCCGUGUAAUUGCUACCAUCAUCUUUCAACUUUGCUUUCUCAAGGAACGCAUUAAAAUUCAACGGAACAAUAGCACGAGCCAUCUAUCUACAAACAAACAUAGACAAGCAAAAUACUAUCAGGUACUAAGUUCAUGAUAAAUUUAAGUUCAAUUAAUCAUAUUACUAAAGAACUCCCACUUAGACAGACAUCUCUCUAGUCAUCUAAGUGAUUAUGUGAUCCAAAUCAACUAAACCAUGUCCGAUCAUCACGUGAGAUGGAGUAGUUUCAAUGGUGAACAUCUCUAUGUUGAUCAUAUCUACUAUAUGAUUCACGCUCGACCUUUCGGUCCCCGUGUUCCGAGGCCAUAUCUGUAUAUGCUAGGCUCGUCAAGUAUAACCUGAGUAUUCCGCGUGUGCAACUGUUUUGCACCCGUUGUAUUUGAACGUAGAGCCUAUCACACCCGAUCAUCACGUGGUGUCUCAGCACGAAGAACUUUCGCAACGGUGCAUACUCAGGGAGAACACUUCUUGAUAAUUAGUGAGAGAUCAUCUUAAAAUGCUACCGUCAAUCAAAGCAAGANNNNNNNNNNNNNNNNNNNNNNNNNNNNNNNNNNNNNNNNNNNNNNNNNNNNNNNNNNNNNNNNNNNNNNNNNNNNNNNNNNNNNNNNNNNNNNNNNNNNNNNNNNNNNNNNNNNNNNNNNNNNNNNNNNNNNNNNNNNNNNNNNNNNNNNNNNNNNNNNNNNNNNNNNNNNNNNNNNNNNNNNNNNNNNNNNNNNNNNNNNNNNNNNNNNNNNNNNNNNNNNNNNNNNNNNNNNNNNNNNNNNNNNNNNNNNNNNNNNNNNNNNNNNNNNNNNNNNNNNNNNNNNNNNNNNNNNNNNNNNNNNNNNNNNNNNNNNNNNNNNNNNNNNNNNNNNNNNNNNNNNNNNNNNNNNNNNNNNNNNNNNNNNNNNNNNNNNNNNNNNNNNNNNNNNNNNNNNNNNNNNNNNNNNNNNNNNNNNNNNNNNNNNNNNNNNNNNNNNNNNNNNNNNNNNNNNNNNNNNNNNNNNNNNNNNNNNNNNNNNNNNNNNNNNNNNNNNNNNNNNNNNNNNNNNNNNNNNNNNNNNNNNNNNNNNNNNNNNNNNNNNNNNNNNNNNNNNNNNNNNNNNNNNNNNNNNNNNNNNNNNNNNNNNNNNNNNNNNNNNNNNNNNNNNNNNNNNNNNNNNNNNNNNNNNNNNNNNNNNNNNNNNNNNNNNNNNNNNNNNNNNNNNNNNNNNNNNNNNNNNNNNNNNNNNNNNNNNNNNNNNNNNNNNNNNNNNNNNNACAUCACAACAUGCCCUGCAAAAACAAGUUAGACGUCCUCUACUUUGUUGUUGCAAAUUUUACGUGGCUGCUACGGGCUUAAGCAAGAACCAAUCUCACCUACGCAUCAAAACCACAACGAUAGUUUGUCAAAUAGACUCUGUUUUAACCUUCACAAGGACCGGGCGUAGCCACACUCGGUUCAACUAAAGUGAGAGAGACAGACACCCGCCAGCCACCUUUAAGCACGAGUGCUCGUAACGGUGAAACCAGUCUCGCGUAAGCGUACGCGUAAUGUCGGUCCGGGCCGCUUCAUCUCACAAUACCGCUGAACCAAAGUAUGACAUGCUGGUAGGCAGUAUGACUUAUAUCGUCCACAACUCACUUGUGUUCUACUCGUGCAUAUAACAUCAACGCAUAAAACCUAGGCUCGGAUGCCACUGUUGGGGAACGUAGUAAUUUCAAAAUUUUCCUACGCACAUGCAAGAUCAUGGUGAUGAUAUAGCAACGAGGGGAGAGUGUUGUCUACGUACCCUCGUAGACCGAAGCGGAAGCGUUGACGCAACGUAGAGGAAGUAGUCGUACGUCCUCUGGUUCAACCGAUCCAAGUACCGUUACUCCGGCACCUCCGAGUUCUUGACACGCGUACAGCUCGAUGACGCACCCUCGAUCUCCGAUCCAGCAGAGGCGCCGAGGGGGAGUUCCGUCAGCACGACGGCGUGGUGACGAUCUUGAUGUUCUCCUUUUGCAGGGCUUCGCCUAAGCACCGCUACAAUAUGACCGAGGUGUAAUAUCGUGGAGGGGGGCACCGCACACGGCUAAGGAACGAUCAAUGAUCAACUUGUGUGUUCUAGGGUGCCCCCCUACCCCCGUAUAUAAAGGAGGGAGGGAGGAGGUGGCCGGACCUAGGGGGGCGCGCCAUGAGGAGGGGGAAACCUACUCCAAGUAGGUUUCCCUCUCUUUUCCUUAUCUUAUUUGGAGGGGGAAGGAAAGAGUACUAGUAUUAGGAAGUAGUACUAGUAGUAGUAAUAGGAAGAGGGGGAAGGAGAAAGGAAAGGGGGGUCGGCCCCCCUCCCCAAUUCGGAUUGGGCUUGGGGGGGCGCGCCCCCUUCCCUUGCUCCUUCUCUCUUCCUCCUACAUGGGCCCAAUAAGGCCCAUAUACCUCCCGGGGGGUUCCGGUAACCUCCCGGGGCUCCAAACUUCUCCCGAACCUUUCCGGUGUCCAAAUAUAUCCGUCCAAUAUAUCAAUCUUUAUGUCUUGACCAUUUCGAGACUCCUCGUCAUGUCCGUAAUCAUAUCCGGGACUCCGAACAACCUUCGGUACAUCAAAAUACAUAAACUCAUAAUAUAACUGUCAUCGAAACCUUAAGCGUGCGGACCCUACGGUUCGAGAACGAUGUAGACAUGACUGAGACACAUCUCUGGUCAAUAACCAAUAGCGGGACCUAGAUGCCCAUAUUGGUUCCUACAUAUUCUACGAAGAUCUUUAUCGGUCAAACCGCAUAACAACAUAUGUUGUUCCCUUUGUCAUCGGUAUGUUACUUGUCCGAGAUUCGAUCGUCGGUAUCCAAUACCUAGUUCAAUCUCGUUAUCGACAAGUCUCUUUACUCGUUUUGUAAUACUUCAUCUUAUAACUAACUCAUUAGUUACAUGCUUGCAAGGCUUAGGUGAUGAGCAUUGCCGAGAGGGCCCAGAGAUACCUCUCCGACAAUCGGAGUGACAAAACCUAAUCUCGAAUUAUGCUAACUCAACAUGUACCUUCGGAGACACCUGUAGUACUCCUUUAUAAUCACCCAGUUACGUUGUGACGUUUGGUAGUACCCAAAGUGUUCCUCCGGUAAACGGGAGUUACACAAUUCUAAUAGUUACAGGAACAUGUAUAAGUCAUGAAGGAAGCAAUAGCAGAAUACUAAACGAUCAAGUGCUAAGCUAACGGGAUGGGUCAUGUCAAUCACCUCAUUCUCCUAAUGAUGUGAUCCCAUUAAUCAAAUGACAACACAUGUCAAUGGUUAGGAAACAUAACCAUCUUUGAUUAAUGAGCUAGUCAAGUAGAGGCAUACUAGUGACUAUAUGUUUGUCUAUGUAUUCACACAUGUAUCAUGUUUCCGGUUAAUACAAUUCUAGCAUGAAUAAUAAACAUUUAUCAUGAUAUGAGGAAAUAAAUAAUAACUUUAUUAUUGCUUCUAGGGCAUAUUUCCUUCACUUGGGUGCACAUAAUCCUUUACAAGACUGAAGUGCAGGAUGUCUUCCGACGCUUCGCAAAUCGAGCUAUGAACAAUUAUGGCGCCAAGAUAAAGCACAUCAGAAGUGACAAUGGCACUGAAUUCAAGAACACUGGCCUUGAUACAUAUCUUUAUACCUUGGGCAUCACACAUGAAUUCUCAGCCCCGUACACGCCACAGUAGAAUGGCAUCGUCGAACGCAAGAACAGAACACUCAUUGAGAUGGCCAGAACGAUGCUAGAUGAAUACAAGACCCCAAGAAAAUUCUGGCCUGAAGCCAUUGAUACUGCAUGCCAUACAAUCAAUCGUGUUUAUCUUCACAAGCUUCUGAACAAGACAUCUUAUGAGCUCCUUACUGGCAAGAAGCCAAAUGUCAGUUACUUCAGAGUAUUUGGCUCAAGGUGCUGGAUCAAGGACCCACAUCACACCUCAAAGUUUGCACCAAAAGCACAUGAGGGUUUUAUGCUUGGAUAUGGAAAGGAUUCACACUCCUACAGAGUCUUCAAUCUCUUUCAUUACAAAGUGGUUGAAAUAGUGGAUGUGCGGUUCGAUGAGACCAACGGUUCACAAAGAGAGCAACUGCCAAAUGUGCUAGAUGAAGUUCCAUCUAGUGAAUCAAUCAAGCUAAUGGGAACUGGAGAGAUUAUACCUUCCGAAGCUCAUCCUGAAGAAGAACUUAUCAUCUCAGCACCUGAUCAACAUGAAGACAAUGCUCAACCUAAAGACAUUCCUUCUAACAACGACAAUGAUCAGCAAGAGCAAAAUCUUCGCCCUGUACAUCCUCGCGUUGCCAAUGAAGUGCAGAUUGAAAGAAUAAUUGAUAGCAUCAAUCCACCCGGUCCACUCACUCGUUCAAGGGCAACUCAGCUAGCAAAUUUCUGUGGGCACUUCGCAUUCGUCUCAAUAACAGAACCCAAGAAAGUUGAAGAAGCCUUCAUGGAACCUGAAUGGAUUCAAGCUAUGCAAGAAGAGCUUCAACAGUUUGAGCUGAAUAAUGUAUGGGAACUAGUUAAGCGUCCUGAUCCACGGAAGCACAAUAUAAUAGGCACCAAAUGGAUAUACCGCAACAAGCAAGAUGAGCAUGGUCAAGUUGUCAGAAACAAAGCUCGUCUCGUUGCUCAAGGAUAUACUCAAGUGGAAGGCAUUGACUUCGAUGAAACAUUUGCUCCUGUGGCUAGACUUGAAGCCAUACGCAUACUGCUGGCCUAUGCAAAUCAUCAUAACAUACUUCUAUAUCAAAUGCAUGUGAAGAGUGCUUUUCUCAAUGGCAAGAUUGAAGAAGAAGUGUAUGUUGCACAACCGCCUGGCUUUGAAGAUCCAAAACAUCCUGACAUGGUAUACAAGCUCAACAAGGCACUGUAUGGCCUCAAACAAGCUCCUCGGGCCUAGUAUGACACACUCAAAUACUUCCUGAAGAGCAAAGGCUUCAUACCUGGUUCCCUAGACCCCACUCUCUUCACGAAGACAUAUGAUGAUGAACUGUUUGUGUGCCAAAUAUAUGUGGAUGACAUUAUCUUCGGCUGCACCAAUCAGAAGUAAAGUGAAGAGUUUGGAUAUAUGAUGCAAGAGCAAUAUCAGAUGUCCAUGAUGGGGGAGCUGAAGUUCUUCCUCGGUCUUCAAAUACGACAACAACACAACGGCAUCUUCAUAUCUCAAGAGAAGUAUCUCAAAGAUUGCCUGAAGAAGUUCGGUAUGCAAGACUGCAAAGGCUUCACAACACCAAUGCCAGCCAAACAUCAUCUGAGUCCCGACGACAAUGGUAAAGAGUUUGAUCAAAAGGUAUACCGCUCCAUGAUUGGUUCUUUACUUUAUCUAUGUGCAUCUAGGCCAGAUAUUAUGCUUAGUGUUUGCAUGUGUGCUCGAUUUCAAGCAGCACCAAAGGAGUCGCAUCACUUAGCUGUGAAGCGAAUUCUUCGAUAUUUGGCUCACACCCCAACUCUAGGAUUAUGGUAUCCAAAGGGCUCAGAGUUUGAUCUGGUUGGAUUCUCAGAUGCUGAUUAUGCUGGUGACAAAGUUGAUCGCAAGUCUACAUCAGGCACAUGUCACUUUCUGGGACGAUCACUUGUAUGUUGGUCUUCAAAGAAGCAAAACUGUGUAUCUCUCUCCACUGCUGAAUCUGAAUACAUUGCUGCUAGAUCUUGCUGCGCUCAGCUUCUGUGGAUGAAGCAAACACUCAAGAACUAUGGCAUUUGUCUGAAGCAAGUGCCACUUUACUGCGACAACGAAAGCACCAUCAAGAUUGCUAACAACCCAGUUCAGCACUCGAAGACAAAGCACAUUGAAAUUCGUCAUCACUUUCUCAAAGAUCAUGUUGUGAAGGAAGACAUUGAUAUCAUACACAUUAACACUGAAGAGCAACUGGCAGAUAUCUUCACCAAGCCCUUGGAUGAGAAGAGAUUUUGCAAGUUACGGUGUGAGCUAAAUAUCCUGGAAUCCUCAAAUGUCCUGUGAUCAGGCACACAUCCUAACCCUAAUGCAUAUUGAUGACUUAGAUGUGCAACACACGAAGUAAAGUAUAUCUUCAAUCAAUGAAGACAUACAUUCUAAGUGUGAAUACAUUAAUGUGGAAUUUGACUUCGGAGCGCCACGAUAAUUGUGCGCCGUGUCUGGGUCUAAUACUUCCUAUACGGUGGGUAACGCCACCACCAAAUGUUCUAUUUGAAGUGUUUCACUCAUGGCGUUACAAUUGCUAUGUCUUCACAUUUUGUUUGGCUUCAAUCUCAACAUAUCUUCAUGAUUAUCUUCACUAUGUUAAUUAUAUAGAUAUAUAUAUAUAUACUAGUGUUCUGUCCUCUACAGCAUUCACUUAUAGCUAUGUCUUCAUUGUUGAAUCUUUUGAACUAAGUGAAUGUGAUCGGACCCUAACCUCUCUAUGCUUUCUAUCUCAAAUUCUAUCUCUCCAAAUCAUAUGCAUUCUAUUGAAACUAUCGAAUGUCUUCUCUGUGUCCUUGUCAGCAGAAGAUACAGAGACAACCAUUAAGUCCAUUUUCAAUGCUCAUUCCCCCACAUGAAACCCGGAGAAGUAGGAACGACCACCCGACAAUCAAGGCGUGCGUGGGACGUGGAACAAACCCCAAAAUUCCGCAUAAUGGCCACGUGUUCCUCAGAUGCGAAUCGCCAGGGGCACCUGUGUAAUAGCGUAGUGCCGCCCAUGUACCUAUAAAUACACACUUCACAGCGGUCAUUAUCUCUUCUUCCACUCUCGCACGAACCCUAGCGCCACCGCUAGCCCUCGACAACGCCGGCGACGAAGCGCUUCGCUGCUGCAACCUCUCCAACGCCGUCUUCACGCCGACCGCGGACAUCGUCCUCUCCGCCGUCGCCGUAGGUGUCCUCCGUCGCCAAGUUAGGGCACGGAAGAUCGAACUGCUCGGCCUCAUCUUCCACUUCGUCUAGCAGUUCUUAGUGUGGUAAAUAAAACUUCCUUUUUACAGCACCGUUGAUCCUAUGGAUUUGACACUUUCUACCACAAGUAGUUUCUAUUCACACAAGUUAGAUCUCUCUCAUACUGCAUCUCAUAACAUGCCUAGUAUAUUCACUUAUGCUUCACAAAGUAGUUAGAUUCCUCACUUGUACUGAUCUGUGGAUUCGUACAAAUCUGGAACCAACUCCUUAUCUAUGAGUGAAUGUCUUCGCACGAUGAGGUCAAUGUCUUCUAAACUGAUUUAUCUUCAAAAUCUUCUGAGAAUGCAUAUGACCUCUUCCCCUUCCCUCGCACCUUAAUGCUAUCACAGGUACAUGUCCGUGGGAGAAUCCUUUGGUUCUCAUAGUCUGCAUUCAUUUGCAGAAUUCUUACAGCAUCACAUUAAUUCUCCCGAAGCCAGUUCCUGUUGGUCCAGCAAGCGAAAACCUUUGAAGCCUUUGAACAUGUUGAAGCCUUUCAAGUUAAAGUUUAUGGCUUCAGAGAAAGCAGCAAGGAAGGGUGGCAGAAAGCGUCGUGGAGAAACAUCCAGAGAUCUGCCAGAUGACCUCUCAGAACUGUACAAGACAGAUCCUAAAGAGGAUUACAAUCAGUGCAAGACCUGAAUCCAAUGGAUUCGAAGAUAUUGGGCAGAACAAUGGUUCAAAUACCGAUUUGUAACCUAGGAAUAUGCUGAGAAAAAUGCCAUCAAGAAACCGUGGGGAGACAUCCUAUACAAGAAUCUUCUACCCAGGUCCAGAGAUGAAGCAAUUACACAAGGCUUCUAUCCCUGCAUGGUCCGUGGGCCACAGCCUGCUGAUGCACAUCCAUCGUCACUACUAUGGUGUCGUGACGACAAUCUGUUCAAGCGCAACUUCCAGUUUGCCCAGAACUCAGCGAAGCAGAACAAGAAGACUUUGGGGUUAGACUUCAACCCUGGUCCCUCAGCACCAAGGGCAGAUGGCACACGACAUGCAGAACCCAAUGUCAUCGAUCCUUUCUACAACCUUGAAGGCCUCAUCACCCGCAUCUUAGUUCAAGGAACUGCAGUGAAUGAGCCUGCAGCUGACGCUGAAUCAGAUGAAGCGCCUGCAGCGCCGAAGACAAAGAAGCUGAAGAAGCCUAAAGCUUCAAAGCCUGCCCCUUCACCAAAAAUCUCACGGUCGAAGCCACUGGCAACUGCACCUCCUGAAGACAGUGUGCAGUCCGAAGACUUAUCUCGCAUCUCCAAGCCCCAGAAGGUCAAGAUGCCUCUGCCUCACACCGGACAAGAGCUAACUGCUGUUGCCAUUCUGCGCAAUGACGACAUUGAUCUGUCAAGUGAUGAAGAUCUAGCAGAUGACGCUCUUGAGCAACUCAUCAAGAGCAAAGAAGAAGCAGAAAUCUUCAAUGAUCUGCCUCUCUUUGAUGUGACCAUCAUCCACAACUUCAUUGACGAGUGGUUUGACACGCCAAACAUCAGCUUUGAAGAUCUGCAGCUACCAAUUGGCCUCAGUGUCGCCUUCCAAGGCGCCAUUGCUUCAGAACUCGCUAUUGCCCAGCGCAUUGUUGAACUGAAGCAAAAGAUUGACUAUGAAAAGGCUCAGUUCAAGAAGCAUAUGGCCAAGCUCAGCAUGCAGGAAGUGAAGAACUUCAAGAGUAUGAUGCACGAGCUCAAGGAAGCCUUUGUAAAGAAACAUGCAGAAGCUCAGGGUUCACGUGAGCGCAUGAAGACUCUGGCUGACAGAUGUGUGCAAGCCUACAAUGAGGCUGAGAAGCGCAAGGCCCUUGGGCGUCCUGGCAUCGACCCCAGGAUGGCCGCAAAGAAGAAGAAGAAGCCUGCUACGGCUAAACCUGACGCACCAAGGCAGGAAGCAGUUCCGAUUGUCUUCCCAACUAGACUGACUGGCUCGAAGCCAAAAAGCCAGUCAACCGCUUCAGAGCUCAAGAAGACAAGGACUGCUGAGGCUGAAACCAGGAAGAGGAAACACUCUGAAGCCUCUCCAACUGCCCCCUCCAAGAAGAAGAGGAAGACCAAGAAAGAUCGGGCUGCUCCCACAGAGCCCUUGAUAGUUGAACCCAUUUCUAUGGUCUAUCCUGAAGCUGAACGCCAACUGACUAUCCAUGAGCCUGCUUCCAUAGAGGCUCAUGAAGCUGAAGACUUUCCAGCAUCUGAUCCCAUCACUGCUGAAGACAUUGGUCAACAAGACCAUGUAGAAGAUGGUGCAGUCCUUCCUCAGAACAGCGAACUCAUCAGCAUUGGUCGUCCACUGACGCCAAUUGCACAGGAUGCUUCAUGGGCGGAUCGCCCACAAGAGGAAGAAUACUUUGAGGCCCAGCCAACUCCAACUCCAUAGGCGUCGCCUGCGUUGCGUAGGCUUUGCAAAGGUCCAAGGCCUCAAGUCUCUGCUGAAGACAAUCCGGCUGCAUCAGCCGCGGAAGAUGAAGUCCCACAAGUUGCCACUCCACUGUUCCACCAAGAAGCAGUUCUCAAGGAGAACGUGCUUGAAAAUCUUGCGGCUGUCACAACCACCAAUGAAGCUAAUGUGGAGCCUUCCCCAACGGAAGAAGAAGACAGCAAAGCCACUGAUCCCGUCACUUCUGUUCCUGAGUCUGCUGCCGGUCCCCAGUUUGACUAUCAUGUUAAGCACAUGCCUCAGGUACAGAAGCCAAUCCCAAGAUUGCCAAGGUUCCCAGGUCCUGCAUCAGCACCUGGCUCCUUCAAUAUCAAUGGCUUCAGGGCAGACAACACAUUCUUUGAUAGCUCUAGGAACCCCUACUCAAGGGAAAGGAUAUCAUCUGAUCGGUUCUGGAGCUAUCCUCAGCGAAGCUAUUACUCAUGCAUUCUUUACAACCAAGGUCGCAUCUUCCCACAUAAGCGCCUUGAUAUUGAAGCCAUAGCUGGUCUGCCCUGUUUGGAAGAAGCUUUGGAUUGCUUCAAGGAAGUUGGAAUGCUGCCGUUCGUUACUGACCAAGAGCAUUGGAAUGAAGAGUUGCUGCUCCAAUUCUAUGCCACACUUCACAUCCGCGGGUACAGCAGAGAUCUGAAGACUUGGGUCCUGGAGUGGAUGACCAGAAAUGUUCAUCACGAAGCCAAUGCAUUUGACAUCAUUGAGCUCACUGGUUUGCCCACUCCUGGCGAUCUCUACGAGCAUGGCUGUCAGCUGCAUAGUGAAGCUAUUGAGAGCAUCUUUAAGAGGCCGGAACCUGAUAUGAGUCAGAUGCUCAGCAUGAUGAAGCCAUUGCCCCAAGAUGCUGCUUAUCCAACAGAGUUCUUCGUUGAAGGCCUUGAGUAUCUGCCAAGAACCAUCUAUCACAUCAUCAGGCGAACUCUCUGGCCCAUCAAAGGGCACUCUCCAAAUGCCAAGCUUGAGGGUGCAAUGAAGACUUUGGUCUUCUAUAUUCUUCAUGGAAAAUGCUUUAAUGCACAUGACUUAUUCAUCCGCCAACUUGCUGCAUCAGGCUCUGAUCUGUUUGGCUUGAAAUUCUACGCCCCAUGGGUAAUGCGGCUAAUUAAACUUCACUCUGAUAUCUCAUAUCAGUCAUCUGCUCGCAAUCAUAGGAUUUUUCUGCCUGAUGUGGAUAUCUCUACUGAAGCCAUCUAUCCUGAGCCUGCAAAGGAACCUCUAAGUCUUCAGAAUCCAGAGCAUCAGAGUUUCUCACAGAACAUUGAAGGAGUUGAAGCAGUCACUCGGGUGUAUCCUUUGGUUGGCACUACACGUGCACCACACCCUGCGUCUACUGAAGCCACUAAUAGUACAACUGCUCCAAGACCCAAGAAGCGCACUCGUGUUCUCAAUGACCGAGAGCUUCUUGUGGCUCUUCAUCAGAAACAGGAUAGGCAUCAUGACUGGCUGAAGCGUCAGAUGAAAAGCCUCUUGGUGGAUGUUAAUCGCAUUCGCAAUCUUGCCACCAAGAAUGCUUUCUUUGCCCAUGAAACCUGUCACCGCACAUGGAAAGGGCUAAGGAUGAUGUGUUCUGAAGAUGAUCUCCAAGAGGAUGGCUUCACUGAGCGAUUCAAGUUUGACUCCACACCUCCUCGAAGAGCUGUGCUGCUAGGAACUCCAUCCCUUGAAGACUCUGAGUUCUCUUCAUCUGCUGCAACAGUGACUGCCAGAGUUAUCGAGGAUGAAGAUGAUGCUACUUCACCACCACCUCCUUCAGCACGCGUCAACUCUGCUCCAAGCUCUUCAGCACCGCCAAACACCACCAACGACCCUGCUACUUCACCUACUCCGCAUGGGAACGAGUAGAUGCUCUAUGUCUUCAAACCUUUUUGGUCCUUACUGACAAAAGGGGGAGAAGCAUAUGAGGUUGAUAGUCUUCAAGCGGGUCCGUAUGGGUGGGUGCUUUAUAUUUUGCUUUGUGCUUACAACUCUCGUUUUGCUACAUUUGGUUCUUUGAGUUGUAACACUUAAACUCGAUGGUCGUCUGCUACUUAUCUGCCACUUUGUUUUGCGAUGAUAAAUUCCGCAUGUGCGACGAUAAAUUCCGCACUUAGAUCAUUCUGCAGACGUCCAUUUUCCAUUAUGCAUUGUCAUUAUCUUCAUAUACUUUCACAUACAUAAUGGAUUGUCAUCAUAAGUUGAAGUGGAUCUCCACAAGUACAACCUGCCAUGUGCAUUUGCAUUCCAAAAGCAAAUUACUUAUAUGCACAUCUUCAGGGGGAGCCCUUGCAACUUAUGAAGACAAUUCCUUAUCCUUUACAAUUUCACAGAUUAUAUUCCCCGUUGGAAACUUCAACUAGUUUGUCAUCAAUCACCAAAAAGGGGGAGAUUGUAAGUGCAUCUAGUGCCACCCCUAGUUGGUUUUGGAGUAUUGACGACAAACCUAGUUGAGGGACUAAUGUGUUUGUGAGAAUUGCAGGAUAACACAGGUAGAAGUCCCUCAUUGAUUCGGUUUUCCUACCAGAGAUGACCCCUAAAAAUGUAUGAAGACAUUGAAGUCAAAGGUGGUAUAUGAAGAUAUUCACAUUGAAGACUAUGACAAGAGAAGACACCACAUGAAGCCUAUGGAGCUCGAAGACUUAGAUCUUUCGUAGUUCUUUUUCUUUUGUGUUGAGUCAUAGGAACCAGCGUACUGUUAAGUGGGGUCCAAGAGAACCAGUCAGAAUGAUUGAAGUGAUGCCUAACCAAAAACCUAUGUCUUCGAGUGAAGACUAUGAGAGCGAACCUUGUCCAGAGUCGGACAAGUCAGCUUUGCUUGUAGCCCAAGUAAAGUUGCCGUGUGAGUUUGAAAUCUGACCGUUGGAACACGUGUCAGUUCCUUAGUGACCCAGGGUCAUUUCGGACAAAUCAGGUCGAGUUGCCAAGUGGCUAUAAAUAGCCCACCCCCCACAACCAUAAACGGUUGGCUGCUCAGAUUGAGAGUACGGCUUUUGUCGUUUGAGAGCAACCCACCUUGAAGCCUUUGAGAGAGAAUUCCUUGCGAGGAUAAAGCCCUAACCACCCAGAGCCAAAGAGAAUUGGGCAUCACUUAAGUCUUCUUGUCUGUGUGAUCUGAAGACUUAUUACACUUGAGGACUGUGCAUCCUCCAGCCGGUUAGGCGUCGCGUUCUGAGCAUCCAAGAGACAUUGUGGAUUGCCGGUGAACGAAGUCUGUGAAGGUUUGGGAGUCUACCUUGAAGACUUACCAGAGUGAUUGGGCGAGGUCUGUGUGACCUUAGCUCAAGGGGAAUACGGUGAGGACUGGGUGUCCUAAGCUGCGUGUUCAGGACUGGGUGUUUGGGACUGUGUGUCCUAAGGUUUAAAUACCUAGCCGCCCCAACCAGACGUACAGUUGUCACAGCAACAGGAACUGGUCCAACAAAUCAUUGUCUUCAACGAGUCACUGGUUUCAUCUUCCCUUCCCUUUACUUACUGUUACUCCUUGUGAAGUCAUUGUAUGUUUGCACUAUCUUUUGUCUUCACUGAGUGACUGCAUGUUCUGUCUAGCUUCACAAUAUCUUCCUACCUGAUCCUUACUACAUUGCUGCUAUUAGUCAUUGUGCUUUCACUCUAUUGAAUACUUGACUAUUGCUUGCCUAGUGUAGUCUACCUUCCGCUGCAGGGUAUUAGGUUUAUUUCUAUCGUUUGUCUUCAUAACUCCCACGUUUUGAAAACUUUCAUAAAAAUCGCCUAUUCACCCCCCCCCCUCUAAUCGAUAUAACGCACUUUCAGGGACUAAGACACUCGAGCUCCUGGAGGGUGAACUCAGUGCGCAUGGUUUCCUGGAUUGCACUGAUAUCGAUGUGUUCGUCUCGCAUGUACUCGACGAGUUGGUGGCGGUGGCCAUCAUGGCCGAAGCCACGGAUGUUGCAUAAGAGGGCCCGCAUCUAAACCCCCAUAGGGGGGCUGCUUAACCCCAAGACACGGGAGGCACUUUGUGCACGGAGAGCGGCAGUGCGAGAGCGGGUGCGGACACGGGUCACACCGUCAGCCACCGGAGGGCCCAGACCCGCGGGGGUAGCGGGCGAGUCCACGGCGGGCCAGAGCAAGCGUGCCCGAGUCUCAGCCAGCUUGCCAUCUAAGAUCUCGCGAGCCCUAAUGGCCGCGGUCUAUUCUAAGGGGGGACCAACCUCCCCCCUGAAGACUAUGGCCGAGUCAGUAGCCACCUUGGCGAGGUGGCCAAGAGGGGCGGCCUCAAGCGCGGAAAAGGAACAACUGGAAGAACUGGGAGCGAUGGAAUCCACACCUGACUCGAGGUUCCGGACCGCCGCCAGAAGCUCCGCACGCUCAGCGACAGACGGAGUCGGGGAGUCCGCCGGACGGGUCGCAUCUAGGCGGGCGCUGCGGUCGGACGCCGUCACUAGCGUCGAUGUGGAGCAGGGCCGCCUGACGUACGCCACCGUCGGAGGAUGGUGAGCGGCGGUCGGGGUGGUCACGACCGUAGCCACCGUCGCGGCCGGGGAGGUGGGUGGAGCGAGGUGGGCGUCGGAGGCCACCGGCGGUGGGAGCGGGGAGACGGGCACCAGGGUGUCGCCCUCCGCAACGCCCGCGGGUAGAGGUGCCAGAGCCGGCGCGCCGAUGGGGAGGCCCCCACCGCCACCCGUGGGGACCGGAGAAGUCGAGCCAGGAGUGGCCGGGGGGUCUGGGGCCGACGGCGAGGUGAGCAGGGCAGAGACGGUGGACGGGAAGCGCGGCGACGAAGGCGGCACAACGAGUAGGCCCACACAGGAGAUGUCACUGCCGACUCGGAUGGAGGCGAAGGGGGCGCGACCGGCGUAGAGGCCAGGCGAAGCGCCACCGCGAGGUCAAUGGCCGACACUCGGGUGCGUCCCGUCCCGGAGCCGCCAUGGCCCGGAGGUGGGUUGGCGGGCUCGCGGGAUGGGGAGCGGGAGUGCUCAGACAAGUCCUCGUCAUACUCAGGAUCCUCGAGGCAUGAGUGACGGGACCGGCGGCGGCGGGAGCCGUCGUCGUCAGCUGGACCGCCCCCCAAGUGGCUGUCGUCAAAGAAGCGGGGGCGACCGAUGUGGUUCGGAGGCUCAGGGCAGAUCUUGAUGUCGUAGCCGUCGUCGUUGAAGAAGACCCGAAUCGUGGCGUGGAGCUUGGAGGAGUCCAGGCAUUUUACCUUGACCCGGACCUCCUCCUCCUUGCGGAGAGAGAGCUCGUCGACCACCACCACCUUGCCCAGGAGCUUGGACAUGCUGCGGAUGACGCGCUCGGACCGGGCCACAUCCGACAGGUCGGCGAUGAGGAUCCAAGCCGUGUCGAGGACCACCACGGCCUUGGGAUCCCACUUCGGCUCAGAGAUGUUCACCACGAUCCCGUUGAGGGCCAAGGUGAUGUUGUCGCUGCGGGUACAAAAGCCCAUGCUCAGAGCGUCGGGGAAGAUCACCGUGAAGGAGUUGGCCGCAGUGGGAGUCACCUGCCAGUCCCACUUGCAUUUACACAAGUGGUUGAGCUCGGCCUCAAUCAGCUCUGCGAUGGCGAUGGCCUCGCCAAUGGUAGUCACGAGAGCCAGGAGCGAGUGGGGGAGGGGCAGCUCCGGGACCUCGAUGUGGAAGAAGCCCAUGUCCUCGAUGCCGUGCCCGUACAUCAUAAGCUCCUCCGUCACCGGGCGGUCCGGACAGAGAAUCGCGGGGUGGCCGGCGUCCUUGCAGAGGUAGCACGUCGGAGGGUGGGGCAAGCCACCUGGAAGUGCCCGGUCAGUCCGCAGUUGAAACACGACGGACCGUUCUGAGGCGGAGGUGGAGCCUGGAUGUGGGGCGGCCGCGCCGGCAGCGGGAGUGGCAGCCGGGGGGCGGGGAGGUCCCUUCUUCUUCUUCUUUGCGCCCGGUCGCCCCCGGUUCCCGUUUCCCCCAUUGGUCGGCGAGAACGAGGCUUGGGAGCGGGGGGGUUGGUAGCGGUUCAAGGUCGGGUUGGCGGUGGCGGUGGAGAGGGGCUGCGGUCGAGGCGAUGGGGACCGGUCCCGACGGCGAGACGGGGAGCGAGACCGCCGCCGGGAGGGUUGCCGAGACCCCCCGACCGGAGAGCGGCCGCGCUCCCGCGAGUCCUCCCGGGGGGGCGAGCGGUGCGCCGGGGACCGGGAGCGGCGAUCGUCUCAGGCAGGGGACCGGCGGGCGGAGCGAGGGGGAGAGCGGCGGGUUGCACGCACUAGAGAGCGGUGGGCGAGACGGGAGUCUAGCUCCUGACAGAGGUCCUCCUCCCUCCGGAGUGCAUCCGGCGACGGGCGCGGAGGAGCCCGGCGAUCGUCGGCCCGACGCUUGGGGCAUCCCGCCCCAUCAUCCCACUCACAGGUCAUGGCCGGUGAGGUAGGAGGGGAGGGCGAGCGGGGGCCGGCUGGGGCAACGGGUCUGGUGGAGGCGAUGAGCGGGACAGUGUCGGGGGAGGAGGCGGGCGAUGUGGGAGGAAGAGGCUGACGGGGGAACCCUAAAGGCGGCCAGAUGGACCGCCUCGUCGGGCCGAGGCCCACCCGGGGGCAGGGCUGGGCCACGAGGGGAGGAGGGGGCCCAGAAGGCCCGGCCAGCGCAAGGUCAGCAACCUGCGGAACCGAUGGCGGCCCAGGAGUGCUGGGCAGGCGGCCCACAGGGCGGCCCACCACAAGCGCGGCCCGGUAGAACCAGCCAGGGGACACCAACCGGGGAGCGAGGGUUUCCCCCUGCGCCGCCGCGGAAGGGGUCGCCGGCAGGGCAUGGCAGGGGCGGCGGGGCCAGGCCGUGGUGGGAAGGAUGCCGGUACACGGAGGCACGGGGGCGCCGAAGGCCGAAAUUAAUGGGCGGAAUGGGGAGCGCCGGUGGACCACCGCCGAAAGCGCCGUCGAGGGCGUCGCCGAUGCGUCAGCCGGAGCAGAGGAGAGGGCAGCGGAGGGCGGCGAAGGACCGGAUGAUCUCCAGGAGACGCGCGCGAGGCCGCGGUCAGCCCGGCCGGCGACGCCCUACCCGCCCGAUCGGCGACCCCCAGGGCGCACGCCGGAGCCCAAGGCAGCGCCUUUCGUCAGAGUCGCCCGAGACGAGCCCGUCGGCAGGCGCAGGCGCCGGCGCCGGCCAUCCCCGCGGGCAGCUGGGCUCCCACCCCUGGGAGUCGAGCCACCGGUAGGGACAGCCUGAGGCGACCGGGCCGGAGCCUUGGGGGGGACGCGGUCGCGGCAGACGACCGGGCGCCCCGCGGCGAGGUCAUCGUCCUCCGCGAGGUCGGCCCAGACGACGUGCGGCGAGGCGGCAAGGGGGGGGGGAUGGCGGCGGAGCGGCCGAGGAGGGCAUCGGCGGGCGAACGGGGGCCGAGGGAGGGGAGGGGGGCUCAACCAGCGGCGGCGCCGGCGGAUCGCCCAGCGAGUCGCCCGAGCUCGGGGGAGCCAUCAGUGUUCCAGACUACUAGUAAGAUCCCUUCAUCAUAACCAUUCCCUUCCAACUCCAAACAACAGGAUACACCAAAAAACCUAAAGAUACAUAGCCAAAAAGUAAUGCAUCAAGUUCCUUGUAAAGAUGUUCAUACACCUCAGUGGAUAUCAUGGAUGAAUGGGCAUUACAACAAGCAAAUUUUAACAGCAUCCGUGCAAAAACGUUGCAAGAUCCCGUAAAUAAUCGUUCCCCUCCCACUUUAAACAGCAAAGAUACAUCAAGAAAUGAAAGGUACAGACAAAAAUAUCAUCAAAUUCUGCUUAAGCAAGAAGCAUGAAGAAUACAGUCUCACCUGAGUAAAGAAUCAGAAAUCAGGAUCCUGUGUUGUAGAAGCACACAUAGGAUAUCCCCGUAGAUACUAGUACAACACAAUAAUGGUAUCAUGGAUGAAUGGGCUUUACACCGUCAAGAAAAAAAAUGAAUGGGCUUACAAGCAAGAAGUUUGCAUAUUACAGGAAACUAGUUACACCUCUCGUUUCUGUGGGAGCAACAUACUCAAAUUUAAUCAAAAAGCAUUCAACACCAAUCUAAAUUUCGAAGGGGGUAAAAUUACCGCCAUUGGCUAACUACUUGUGACAACCGGCAAGGGGGCGAAAGCAAAAAAAAAAAGCUCUUCUGAGUUCCCGGGCUCACAGUGUCGUAAACUGUGUAGACUUACCUGGAGACAAAUCUCACAUGAUGAACUAGAAAAAAAAUUGAAAGGUAUGGCAUAUGCCAGGUCAAAAUAAGCUGGGGACUAAUAGGUUGAUGGACACAGAGCCAAAUCGAAUAUCCGGAGUGUAUAUGUGCAACAAGAAAACCAUCAACAUACUGCAUCCCACUGUAGCAUGAAAGAAAAGGUAACACCAUGCCUGCCAAAAUGCUGCAAGACCUCAGAAAUAACCAUUUCCUUCCAAACAAUUGGAUACAUCAAUCAAGGAACUGAAAGAUACAGCCAAAAAAUGCAUCAAAUUCCACAUAGGCAACACGAUCCGGUGUUGCUGGAGCACGCACGGGCACAGGACACCUCAGUAGAUACCAUGGAUGAGCGGGCAUUACAACAAGCAACAACUUGCCUACAAACUGGAGGCGAAAGCAGCCAUGAUAGCUGGGAAUCAGAGUUAGCGAGAUGGAAGCAAGCUGCUCCGCCACUUGGGUUGUGCGGGAGACCGACGAACCUCAACUGAGAAGCUGACAUGAAUCUGUUGUGCAGUUCAAUCUAGCUCACAUGGCAAUGCUCGGGCUUUCUUCUCCAACUCGAAUUCCUAAUGCAUCUCAUUCCCAAACGGUUCAUCUAUAAGUGCUUUGUUUUUUCGCUCUCACCCUUGGAGAUGCCACUUGUUCUUUCACUCUCUGCUUUCUUCUCCACCAACUGUGUUUUAUAGACAAGAUCCAUAGCUAUAGGUGCACCGUUCAACCACUCAAGAGGUACAAACUUGAGUGUUUGCACGGAUCGCCCGACUUGGAAGAUCUUCAUACAUUUAUGUAAGGUUCCUUGAAAUGAUUUCACAAAAUGAAUUGAUGACGCGAGCUAGGUAGUCUUCCUUCAGCUACUGAAGGAAUACUCUUAUGUACUCUGUUUUCAAUAUGCAGUACUUCAUUUUGUGGUUCCGUUUGCCCCUGAAAAAUGAAGAUAUCUCAAAUUUGGUAAGGUUAUUGGUGAUGGCUGCACAUAAAUCCAGUUUGUUCCUUUUUAUUGUGAAUGUGUUUAUCGCACUACAUGAAGAAAACUGAAUCGCUUGUAUGUUCUCUCAUUCAGUUAAACCGCCCAUACAGCCCACGAGCGAUAACAAAACUGAACUCUCUGUUUAUAUAGUCAGGAAUUUUAGAGAAAUAAAAUGCUCUUUUUAGUUCCAGGCACACAGCAUCGUAAACCGUGUCGACUUAAUGGAGACAUAUCUCACAUCAUGAACUGGAAAAUAGAAAAAUGAAAGGUAUAGCAUAUUUCAGGUCAACUAACAUGGGGAGUAAUAGGUUGAAUGCAUACGAGAAAUAAGAAAAUCAUCAGCAUCCCACUGUUUGCAUGAAAGAACAGCAUAUAGUACAGUUGAAUUCAGAAAGAAACUGGCAAACAAAGACUAGAACUAAAUAUAUCAAAGAUAAAAGCAUGCCUACAAAAACGCUGCAAAACCUCGUAAAUAAUCAUGUCCCUCCAAACAACAGGAUACAUCAAGAAACUGAAAGAUACAGCCAAUAAAUAAGAAAUGCAUCAAAUUCCACAUAGGAGCACGCACAGGACACCUCAGUAGCUAUCAUGGAUGAAUGGGCAUUACAACAAGCAACAACAUGCGUAUUACAUGAAACUGGGAACACUGCUUGUUUGCAAGUACAUGGGAGCAGCAUGCAUGUGAAUUUAACCCAAAUUCAUCCAACACGAGUCAAAAUUACACCAGGGGUGGAAGUACCACCACUGGCUAACUACUUGCGAUGCCGUCCGCCACCACCACCUCUCCCUGGUGAAUGUCGGCCUCCACGUUGUUGUGGUCUUCUACCACGGAAGGAUGAGUUCCCCUGAUUAAACUGCCCCGAAUUGAAUUGCAUCGGAGGCUGACCUCCAUCUCCACGGGGUGAAGGCAGCGAAUUGAACUGCAUAGGAGGCUGACCUCCAUCUCCACGGGGUGAUGGUAGGGAAUUGAACUGCAUAGGAGGCUGCUGACCUCCAUCUCCGCGGGGUGAUGGUAGGGAAUUGAACUGCAUAGGAGGCUGGCCUCCAUCUCCGUGCGUUGAAGGGAGGCGCCCAUGUCCUUGCAUGUUUGCAUUUCCAGGAGGCUGAUCUCCAUCCUCAUGUUGUGAUGGGAAGCGCCCAAAUCCUUGGGUGUUGGGAAAUCCAGCAGGUGGCCCUUGGUUGCCAGCCAUGUGUGGAAACUGACCAAAGUUGCCUUGCCCCAUAGAAAAUUGAGAUGCCUGACCAAAAGGAUGAUUUACUGGCGGUCCACCAAAUGGCAUCAUGUUUGCACUCAUUGUGCUCCCUGGCAUAAAUUGUUGUUGGGCCAUGGGCAUUCCAUUUGGGAAGCCACCAAAGUUCUGAUUCUGUAAAUACUGCUGGAACUGGUUGGCUCCCAUAAGUAUAUUCUGCAUAAUAUUAGCUGCAAGAGCAGCUCCAUCAACUCCCAUGUUUGGCUGCCCUGGAGGUGGAAGCCCGCCGGGCCAAACCAUAUUUGGCUGCUGAGAGAACUGCUGUGGAUUGAUGAAGCAACUGCCCAUCUGAUUUGCAAGUUGAACAGGUGAUGGCAUAGCAUGAUUCAUUGAGAUUGAUGGCAGCAUUGUUGGUGUGCUCAUAGGAAAGUUUUGAGGACCCGUUUGUCGUGUUGCGCUGUCAGCAACAGCAGUUGCCAUAUCAGACCGGUGAAAUAGAGGCUGUGCUCGGCGAUCUGCUGUUGAUGCAUCAUGGAUUCUAGGUGGCAUGUCCCUUGGUGUACUCAUCGGAGAAUUUUGUUGACCCGAAUGAUAUGUCACACUGUCAGCCAUAUCCGAGCGGUGGAAACGACGCUGUGACUGGUGACCAGAUGUCGGUGUAUUGUGGAUCCUUGGUGGCAUGUCAUUUCGAAAUCCAGCACCCCUGGUCUGCGCCCUCUUCUUGUCACCAGAAGGUUUCUUAGAAUCAUGCGGCCUAUCAGUCUGCCUUUUUACCAGUCGUAGUGAUCUUUUGUACUCAGCCUCCUGCUCAUCAUCAGAGAAUUCAGGUUCAUCUGCCUCCUCAUCAUGGUCAGCAGAUUCAUCAUAGCCUUUGGCAUAUAGCUCCUUCAUAUUUAGGAUAUGAUCUGCAAACUCCACAACAAAGCAGACUGUAGUUCCUGCACUGAUCCCAGCAGGCACUUCUUCCACGGAAUUAUACCGCACAAGAUAGUAAGGGUUUUUUACAGGUCCAAAUAUUUCAUCAACAAUGCCAAGUGGCGUCCUGCUCUCAGUUAUCCAGAGUAUAGAACCCUCAGUCAGGGGACUGUGUUCCACUGAUCCUUCAACAAUCACUCUCUCCCCCAUGAUCUGGAUGACCAGAAAACAGACAACCAAUCAGUAUAUGGAUCUCAUAGGAAAUAUACUAGUAUUUCAACAGUCUAAACAAGAACCCCUAUCUGUCUACAAAAAUAUCUAACACACUGGAAAAAUAUGCUAUUCAAAAUAAUAGCUGCAUUAAUGAAAUGUAUAGACACAAUCAUCCAAACACUAACAAAUUCCAGAAUGCACUACUAAUACAGUAAAAACAUACAUCAGUGAGUACCAUAGAUCUCUGGUUCUUACAUUACAAUGAGCUACUGGUUUUAACAUGUACAGAUAACGGUGACUGAUUAAAUCAUCAUCAGAUUACAUAGGAAGAACAGGUACCUAUAAAGUGCUGGAAAAACACAGUUUUUGUUUCCAACAAAUGCAAACAAAAAUCUAGAUGAAGUCAAAGUUAAAUUCAAGACUUACAGCUGUAAUUGUCCCCACUGGAAGUGCCUUAUGAUGCGGUUCCAACUGCACUUCAAUCUUUGGAACUGGAGGAAGUACCUGCAAGGUAUGGUACAUCUACUUUAGAAUAGAGAUACAAUCAAGGAACAACAAUAUUUUUACAGUUAUAUGAGUGGUUUUGGCAUAGUUAAAAAAGCCGCGCCUAGCUCUAUGCGGUAGCAAAACGGCAAGUGGCAAAACACACAAUUAAUGCCUAGUGCUUUUUUAAACUUUGGUUUUUGGCAACUGAGCCCAAGUAUGUUCAUGUAGCAACUACAUAGGAAUAGAAAAUAAUUUGUCACUAUGGUAGCUACAGAAAGUGCAGGAUUUUCAGAAGAACAAAUGGAUAACUAAGCAUUAACUUCUACUGGGCUAUCAAUUGAAAAAAAUGACUAUGAAACAAAUGUUUAUACAAGUCGGCUGCAACUAACUAGACCCAAGAGAGGUGCACAUCGUGAGAUAAACUUAAUACCUCUACUUCAUGUUUGGACUUGAUAGGACCCUUUGGUGUUUCGUCAUCAUCCUCAUCCUCGACUCCAGUCAUAAGCUCACCCUCUUCAAGGAGGGCCUCCAUGUCACUGGGACAACUAUGCUUUUUGGCCACCGGCACUUCCUCAUCACUGCUCGACGAGGCUUCACUCGACUCCUCAUCAUUCUUGGCCGGCUCCUCCUCCUCAUCACUGCUCGAUAAGGCUUCACUUAAUUCCUCAUCCUCGCUGCUCUCCGACUCUUCGUCCUUGCUCUCCUCCUCCCCCUUGCCUCCACCACGCUCCACUUCCUUAUUUACCAUGGCCCCAGAACUCAUCUCAGCAUCAACAGAAGCAAUGGUACUAGUAUCAGCAUCAACAGCACCUAUGGCACUCAUCUCAGCGUCAACAGAAGCCCCAGCGGGACUAGUCUCAGCAUCAACAGCAGCCAUGGCACUAGUGUCAGCAGCAACAGAGGCUACUGUACUCAUCUCAGCAUCAACCGGAGGUACAGUACUAGCCGCGGCAUGAACGGCAGCUACGCUACUAGCAUCAGCAUCACCAGCAGCUACAGUACACAUCUCGGCAUCAAUCGCUGCCCCCAAACUGUCCUCUUGUGCAACGAAAUCGCCAAUCCGCAACACGGGAGCAGGCACCCCGCCCAAUCCGCCGCCCAGCAGCACCACGGCCUCCUUCUUGACCUCCAACAGGACGCCGGGGGGAGCGUCGAGCAGGCCGGGUGGCCCGCCCUUGUCCUCCGCGGCCUCCCCCUGCCCCUCCUCGACGAUUUGGUCCGCGCCCAGCCCGCCGCCUCCGGACACCGACGCAAAAUCAAUCCCGCCCGGGCCAGCGGCCGCCGCCGCCGCCGCCGCCUCGCCGAGGCCGAAGCUCUUGGCCAGCUCGCUCGCCAUGGCCUGGUCGAAGUCGAAGUCGUCGAGGAGCCACUCCUCGACGGGGUCGAAGGCGGCGGCGGACGGGUCGGAGGGGGGCGCGGGCGGCGGGGAGGGGGACGGGGGCCUAGGAUGGCGAGCCAUGGACGGUGGGGGUGGNNNNNNNNNNNNNNNNNNNNNNNNNNNNNNNNNNNNNNNNNNNNNNNNNNNNNNNNNNNNNNNNNNNNNNNNNNNNNNNNNNNNNNNNNNNNNNNNNNNNNNNNNNNNNNNNNNNNNNNNNNNNNNNNNNNNNNNNNNNNNNNNNNNNNNNNNNNNNNNNNNNNNNNNNNNNNNNNNNNNNNNNNNNNNNNNNNNNNNNNNNNNNNNNNNNNNNNNNNNNNNNNNNNNNNNNNNNNNNNNNNNNNNNNNNNNNNNNNNNNNNNNNNNNNNNNNNNNNNNNNNNNNNNNNNNNNNNNNNNNNNNNNNNNNNNNNNNNNNNNNNNNNNNNNNGGUGGGGAACGGCUACCUGCUCUACUCUGUAGUGUUCUCGCGCGGUGGGCUGGGGAGAGUGUCUCCGUCCGCGAAUCAGGGCUCAGGAGACGCACAUCGGCAGGUCCGCCGCCCGGCACGAAUCUCAGCGCUCGGUUUCUCAACUUCAUAAAGUUUGACCAUAUUUAGAUUAAAAAAUAUAAACAUCUGCAAAUAUUAAAGUUAUACAAUGUGAAAUUUGAAUUCAUGACGCAUAUAAUGAUAUUGGUUCCGUAUUAUGAUUGUUCAUAUUUUUUUCAUAAAGUUGGUCAAACUUAGACUUGAGAUAAAUCUUAUAUGCGGAGUAAAAGGACCAGAGGGAGUAAAUGUUUGUAACGGGCCAACUGGCUGGCAUCACGCCGGUGUACGCGCUAUGCGACAUGCAUCUCUGUAGCCCACGCGCAGCUUCCCCUUGUGGGGUUCAUGCAUGCUCGACCCUCUCCUACAUUAUUCCUUCGCGGCAUUGUCUCCUCCACUCAUUUAAUCUGUCGCUCAUUUUCCUCGAUCUUUGCCGCAUCUCGUCUUCUUCAUUGUUGCCUGCUGUUGCGCGCCGGUGAGCGGCGUGAUGAGGCCCUACUGCAAGCCACCUCUGGGGUAGCGAGGCACUGCAGCAUGCAACUAGGGGACGAGCCACCGUGGGCGGCAAAUACGACAACAAUCAGACCCUCAUUUCCCCCCUCCGGCACACAUGAGCUACAACGACAGUGAUGGGGGACGCUAGUAUGAUGUUAACGGGGUGCUGUGAUGGGGGGAACCGCGUGUUCCAACUGCGGUUGCCGAAUGCUGGAACCAGCCGGCUAUGAUGCUGCGACUGCAGCCACCACAUGCUGGAGCCGAAGUCGAGAGAUGCUACGACCAUGGCCGCCACAUGCUGGAACCAGUCGGAUGUGGUGUUGCGACCUGGGCGUAUGCUUCGUCGUCGUGGCGUUCAAUGACUUAUGGUGGAAGUUGCAACUGACGCAUGGGCUAACUGCAAUCGGCGCCUAGGAUAGUUGCGAACGGCGACACUAGAAGAUGUGGUUAGGGGUGAGCCAAGAAGAUGUGACUGGCUGUGAUACGACCAACAACCCUGGGAGCGGCGGCUAGGGGUGAGCAAAUAAGAUGUGACUGGCGGUGGAGGAUAUUGUGACUGAGAAGCCCAAAAGAUGCGUCCGACGCAGGGCAUAGAUGUUACUCGGGACUCGCGGCGGUGGGCAAGCCCAGAAGCUGGAAUUAGCAACGGCCAAUGUUGCGAGCAGGAGAGGAGGCUGCCAUAGAAAAUUCCCGAAGCGAAAGGUGUAGCCGCAAUAUAGCAGACAAAGCGGGAGCUGUAGCCACAAUACUAAAUUCCCAAACAUUUUUUUAUUCAUGAUUUUUUUGAUAAUGCAAACAAUUUUUGGAAAUUCUGAACAAAUUUUGAAAAGGGCGAACACUUUUUUUGUUUUUGUGAAAUAUUUGAAAACAUGAACAACUUUUGUAAAAGACAAAAUUUUGUUGAAGUUAUCAACAACUUUUGAAAAAAACAAACUUUUCUGAAAUAUUGAUUUUUUAAGCGAGAAUAUUUGUUUGAAAAUUAAAAAACGUCAACAGUUUUUGAAAACAAAAAAUAUUGAAGAAAAAAACAAAAAACAAAAAAUAAAAAUAAAAUAAAAAGGAACAGAAACGGGAAAAUGAAAACCUAGAAAAACCGUAAAAGAAAAAACCGGUUCUGGUGUAGUGGGCCGGCCCAUUUCUCGUGUUGGGGGGUUUGCCCUGUGCGUGCGGUCGACUUUACGACGUAGAGAGCGUCACAUAGGAUUUUCCCAUUGUUAGUUAUUAGUUAUGUUAAAAUUUUAAAAUAAUAGUUAUAUGUAUGUGUUAUGGUUUUAAAUACUUCCCUGUAAAACCUGGCAUGGAUGCUAACUAUGGGCACGCCCACCUGCUCACAAAAGUUGGGGUUAUUUUAGUAAUGUUCAAAAAACACCAUGUUCAACAUAGGAUGUUUGGGCACGCCAGAAGGCUCCAUGUGAGAAUACGUUAUUUCUCAACAUCCUUUAAUGUCCCAAUUUUUUAUCAUGCCUUGUAUGACCAAUUCAAAGCACCAUGCCAAUUCGUUUGGGUUUUGGACAAGUUUUGCAUUUUCUCGAGUUUUCACGGUGAAAAAAGACCGAUAAAUGGUUGGACGUGUCGCAACAUGCAUCCUGUGUUAGAAUUCAUUCAAACCUGACAUGGAUACCUACCAUGGGCAUGCCCACCUCGUGGCAAAAGUUAGGAUCAUUUCAAUGACCUCCAAAAAAACACCAUGUUCAACGUAGGGUGUCUAGGUAAGUUAAAAGGUUCCGUUCAAGAGCACUUUUUUUACAUCCAUCAAAUUGCCCUAAAUUUUUUUCCAUGUCCUUGUAUGACCAAUUCAAGUCACGACGCCAAGUUUUUUUGUUUUUUCACCAAGUGUUGUAUCUUCUAGAGUUUUUUCGAGAAAAAAUGCCGAUAAAUGGUCGGAUGUGUUGCAACAUGCAUACGGUGUCAUAAGUCAUUCGAACUAGACAUAGAUGCCUUACAUGGCAUCCCACCUGAUGGCAAAAGUUGGGGUCAGUCAUGAGAUUUUCAAAAAAUACCAUGUUCAACGGAGAGUGUCCGGGUAGGCCAGAACGGUCCGUUUGGGAGCACCUCGUUUCUCGACAUCCCUUGAAUGUGGUCAAUUUUUUUCAUGGCCUCGUAUGACCAAUUCAAUGUACGAUGCGAAGUUGUUUCGGUUUUUGAUAAGUUUUGCAUUUUCUAGAGUUUUCUCUGUUAAAAAACAUCGAUAAAUGGCCACACGUGUUGCAACUUUCAUACGGUGUUGAAAGUCGUUUAAAUCAGGCAUGGAUGCCUAACAUCUACUUCAAAAAUUAAGGUCAUUUCAAGGAUGUGUAAAAAAUUAAUCAUGUUUAACACAGGGUGUCUGGGUAGGCCAGAAUGGUCCAUUUGAAAACACAUUGUUUGUAGACAUCUAUUAAAUGGCCUCAAUUUUUUCCCAUCAACUUUAGUGACCAAUUCAAGGCAUCAUGCGAAGUUGUUUGGAUUUUUGACAAGUUUUGCAUUUUCUGGAGUUCUCUCGAUCAAAGGGACUAAUAAAUGUCCGGACGUGUCGUAAUGUGUAAACGGUGUCGGAAAUCGUUUAAACUUGACAUGGAUGCCUGAUAUGUCUGGCUAGGCUGCUGUAAGAAGUUGGGAUCAUUUAUCCAUAGUUUAAAAAACCACCAGUUAAGAGAAGUGUGCCAGACUAGGCCAGACGAGUGCAUCCGUGAGCACGUAGUUUGUUUUUUUUUUUUUGCUAAUUUGUAUGCUUCUAUUAUUUGCAAUUUCUGUCAUUAUCAAUCAACAUAAACAUAUUCGGGUACCUUGUAGACGAUUCAUGAAUUGUUUUUUCUUUUUAUUUCUGUUUCUUUUUUCUUCAAAGUAGCUGAUUUCAAAAGAUGUCAACAUAUUUAUUUAUGCAUAUUUUUCAGAUUAGGUCAAAAAUUUCAAAAAAAUGGUCGUCUUUUCAAAAAAGUUCAGAGUUUCAAUUUUUUUGUGUUUUCAAAAAAAUCAGAAUUUGAUUAUUUUUUUCAUUUUUCGUUUUUCCAAAGUUUCAAAAUUUGUUCCACAUUCCAGAAAAUUUGUAUCAAGUUCCACUUUUCGAAAUUUCAUGAUUGUUGUUUUUUGUAUCUCGAGGCGCGAGCUAAAUUUUUAGCUUAAAUUAUAUGACAUAUUGUGUUUGCGUACUCAUUUGUUUUCAGAAGUUUUGGAAAGUUUUUGCCUAAAUUUUUGACCUUGGUGCUUGGUAGCACAAGAAUCUCCGUUACACCAGAUACAUCCUCCCCUAAAUGGGCUGGCCUAGGCGCGCUAUGUCUGUUUUUUCUUUUCUCUUUUCGUGUGAAAAAAUUGAUCAUUUAUUUAAAAAUGUUAAUCAAGCAUUUGAAAAAAAACUAUUUGAAAAAUAUGAAUCAAGCAUUUAAGAAAAGUUAAAUGUGUGUAGAAAAUAUGUUACCCAUGUAUAUUAAAAAAUAUUAAUUUUAUCUGAAAAAUGUUAAAUAUGUAGAGAAAAAAUGUAGACUAUGUAUUAAAAAUUAUUAAUCUUGUAUUGAAAAAAUGUUAAUCAAGCAUUUGAGAAUAUUUAAAUAUGUAUGGAAAAAUGUUGACCAUGUAUUCAAAAUUUUGUAAUCUUGUAUUUGAAAAAUAUUUAAAAUGUGUAUAAAAAUGUUGACCAUGUAUUAAGAAAAUGUUAAACUUUUGUUUGAAAAAUGUUAAUCUAGAAUUGGAAAAAUGUUAAAUUUGUAUAGAAAAAAUGUUGACCAUGUAUUCAAUUUUGUUGAUCCUUUAUUUUUGAAAUGACUAUUAUUAGAAAAAUGUAUUAGAUAUAUACCAAAAAUGUGUAUAGAACAACAGCAAAUACUGAGAGAAAACAAAAAAACUGAUGAAAAACGAAAUAAAGAAAACCAAAGAAACUAAAGAAAGAAACACCUCAGAAACGUAGAAAAAUGGAAACCCGAAGAAAACCGUGGAAAUUCACGAGGAAACAAAGAAAAAAGAAGAAAAAAACAGAAAAGAAAACAGGAAAACAUAGAAAAGAAAACAGUGCAAAAGAGAAAAAGGAAUCAUAUAAACAAGAAAAACCGAGGAGAACGAUAAAGAAAAAAACUUGAGAAAAGAAAAACCUGGUGAAAACAAGGAAAUAUAUAAAGAAAAUCGAUGAAAAACAAAGAAAUCCAUGGAGAAGCAAAGAAAACUGGUAAGAUCCAUGUAAAAAAAAUUAAAAACAAUAAAAAAGAAAUAAAAACAGAAUACCAAAAAAAGUAAUGAAAAAGAAAAUAAAACGAAAAAUAAAAAUAAAUAAAUAAAUAAAUAACAUACCGAACGAGCGAGUGAGUAUUGACAAAUCCAACGAGCAGCGAUAGUGCGAGGGAGGAGAUGAAAAUGGUUUGGUCCGAUUCGUUCACAGGAGCAAAAUUCCUUCAGGCAAGAGCAGCUAACUUGGGGUGUUUCACGUGGAUAUAGACUAGUCCUGAGUCCUGACUCCUGGAAGAGCCAGUCUGUAGUAUGGACGAACCGGGGAACUCCUUGUCCAGCAAACUUUUCUGAUGAGGAGGGUCAUACAGUCAUACUUCAGAAAAGGGUUGUUUUGGCAACAUGGUCUACAUAAAAUAGGUGUAAGAAAUGGAGAUACAAGGGCACAUAAGUCCAUCAGAAAAGGUUGCCUCAGCCAACCAAAUGCUCUUAAUUACCAGUUAACCAAGUCAGGCACCAAAAAAUUCAUUGCCUUUACUAAUAGUAGUAUAGCACUAGACUACUAGCGGUAAGAAAGAGCGAGAAACUAAGUAAGUUGGAAAUAAAAGGUGAAGAUUACUCUUUUUUCUCAACGCGCCUUCAAAAGGAACCAAGUAAGUUGGAAAUAAAAAUAGCGACUUGAAUGUAUUACCUUUAAAAGGCAGACCGCAGUUUGGACAAGACCUUGACGAAUUGCAUCUAGCUUGCUGAAAGCUCAGAAGUUUCCUCCCAUGCCAUAGUCUUUCUUUUUUCCUGUGAUGGAGUAGCAGCCGUAGGCUCAGAGGUUGACUAUAAAUAAAACAGGUUCCUGUCCAGGACAUCAACUGUGAACGCAGACAUCGUACCUGACCAAGGGAGUUUAUUGACCGGAAUAUCGUUCACAUAUAUACAGAAUAUAUCAGUGACUUAUACCGUGCGUCUAUAUAUAAACUGCGUUUUUUUGCCCUCAUACACCACCUACCUUAGCACAUCGCAAGAUGGAUCUUGUCAUAGCCGCUGUCGCAGGUGAUCUCUCGAACCGUUUCAUCUCUUUCCUGAUGAACAAGUACGCAGAUCACGCGUGCUUGGAGGACAAGGUGGAGAGGCUGCAACAGCUCUUGCUGAGAGUUGGCAUGGUCGUCGAGGAGGCGGACUCGCGGUACAUCACCAACUCUUGUAUGCUCAUACACAGUGGCGAAUCUAGACAGAAACUGAAGGAUGGGCUCAAAGCCUGUAUCAUGCGAAUAUCUAUUAGGUUGGGCUUGCAAGUGGCUGAGUUGGGCUUUGAAACUAGUAGUAAAAAACUUUUUUACAGUGCUGGAGGGGGGGGGGGGCCCAACUCUUGUAUGCUCAUACAGCUGAAGACCCUAGCGACAGCCAUGUACCAAGGCCACCAUGCGCUUGACACCAUCAAGUAUGGGAAACACAAGGAUGUUGCCGAGGAAUUGGUAUGUGACGCAUUCGCCUUAUCUGUUUCUACUCCUUGCAAACGUUCUCGCAUAAUCGGUACUCGUGCAACAAACAAGGUUCUCAAUCCGGAGUUGCAAAGCGCGCUGCAAAACCUAGAGGCUAGUGUUGCUAACAUGGCGGAGUUUGUCGUGCUUUUGGGGGGAUGCGAGCGCAUCUCCCGUCGACCCUAUGACGCAUAUUUUACAUCGACAACUUCAUGUUUGGUCGCCAUGUCGAGAAGCAGCAGAUCAUCAGGUUCUUGCUGCACCACAACACCCGUGGUUCUCCGGCCGUGCUUCCAAUCAUUGGUGGCCCUGGAGUUGGGAAGAAAACUCUUGUCGCCCAUGUAUGCGACGAUGAGAGGGUGCGUUCUAACUUUUCUAUGAUUUUGCACCUAAAUGGAGAUGAUCUUUUCAGAAUGACACACCAUGAAAGCUUGUCAGGGAGGAUACUGGUAGUUAUUGAGUUUGUUUCAUAUAUACAUGAAGAUGACUGGACAAGAUUCUAUCAUUUUUUUAUGAACAUGGACAGAGGAAGCAAGGUCAUGAUCUUAGGUAAAUUCGCAGAGCUAGAGAAGUUUGGAACCGUUAAACCUAUAUCACUGAAAUGUUUGGCAUUAGAAGAAUUCAGGUACCUGUUCAAGACCCUAGCAUUCGGAAGUGCGGACCCGACAGAUUAUCCGCGAUUAGUCGCGAUGGUGGAAGAGUUUGUCAAGGUGUUGGGAGGGUCACUCACCUUAGCAAAUGUGCUUGCAGAUGCACCGAGGAAAAAUCUAGUUGCCCGUUUCUGGAUGUACAGGUUGAACGCGGUCAGAGAUAUGGUCAAGGCGAACAUUUCUUAUUUUGGCGCCCAUCCACAGGUGCUUCUGAAUCAAGGUCACCCAGUGCACCUAAUCGGCGGAAACAUUUUGUCUCCUGCUGCUCCAUCGCGUGUUGUAGACUGUGCUAUCGGUAUGGCUAAUGCUCCGGAAGAUGGUCUACCUAGGAUUAUGUUUGGGGACUUAAUAUCAGCAGCAGGUCACCUUGUCUUACCCAAAGGAGAUUUUAGGCUAAUUUCAUGGGAAUCAAGGCUACCGCCUUACACACAAUUUAUUCACUUGGUGCACUCUCCGUUCCAAGCUGCCCCAAUGGUAAAACUGUAACACCCUUGUCAGGGAAAAAGCGUCCGAGUUUAUUUAUGGCCUGCAUAAAAUAGGUAUAAUAAAUGAAAAUGCCAGUGAAUAGAAGUCCAUCAGAAAAAGGUUAGUUCAGCAAAUGCCCUCAAUUACCAGCUAACGAAGUGAGAGAAUAUGUGCUAACCAAGUCACACAACAAAAUUUUAGGGCAUUGCUACUUGCCAGUUUCUAGUCGUAUCUGACCAGAAGAGAGAACCAAUGCAAGGACCCAAAUUUACUUGAAAUUGUGCUGACCUCGGUGGCGCGGCAGGCCAGCAAGCUCACAUCGUCAGCCCUCCAGAGAAAGUAUUGGUGGCUUGACGGUCAUUUCACAGAACACCAUCCGGGCACCAGAGCGGAGCUGACUUCCUCACAUCCUGCCUUACUGGAGACAGAGGAAGUGACACACAGUACCAAUGGUUAAUUUUUUUUCAGACCGGAACAGCAGGUGCUCCGGCUUUUUAUUAUAGUAGGAGGAAAAACUUUACAAAACCAGGAUGCCGGGAUUUACUGUAAUGAAAAACCGGGUGCACCGAAAAAGGAAUUUUUUCCAAGAGGUUUACUUUAAUGAAAAACUUUGUAAGAAAUGCAAUACAUAUGGUUCUUUGGAUAAAAUUCCUACGAGAUAAAAUCCUACAAACCAAACAUCUUACACACACACAAUACAGGUUAUAAAUACAUGACUUCCUAGAAGGCUUGCAUUCAAUAUUUUCUAACUUUCACUACAAAUAUAUAUCCAAAAAAAAAAUUGUAUUGAUUGAAUGAAAAUGGUACAUUAAAACUUUAUUUUUUUAAUAAAAAAAUAGCAUUCCAUGAUCAAAAGAUGUGUAUCGGAGACCAUGUCAAUAUUUGAGUUAUCUAUUUCUAAUCUGAGCGAAUACUUGAGAUUCCAACUGUACAAAAUCCCCGUAGAAAUCGUCUGAAUCAAAAGGCCUUACAAAGGCACCGCUGCACGCUUCCUCCCAGACAGGGGAGUACUCUGUUCCGCCGCACCUAGAGCACCAUUUCCACUUGUAGCGAAAUGAACAAACGAGGUAUAAGGCGGCAAUCUUGACUCCCACGCAACUACAUUGAAAUCCCCUUGCGGCCGGACUCCAGGAUCCAGCAGCAGAUCCCCAAGCCUUACCCUCGGCAGAAACUCCCUUCCCACAGCAACCUCAGUGCGGCUGCUGCCGCUGGUACAGGAAGGCACGAUGCAGAGUGGAGAAGCAGCAGGAUGCAAGAGGAACUCCGUAAUAUCUAUCUGGUGGCGUCUCUGGAAGAGGGACCUCGGAUGCUUACCGAACAUGGAGAGGUUCCUCUCAAUGGCCUUUCUCAGCCUGCUCAGCAUGCCGAGGCAGAAACGGUCGUUCAGAUUCCUUCUCAUUAAGUCCGCAAAUAUGUUCGCAUCACCAAGUGAGUAUUCCGAGUGGAAUUCUCUGGCCAGUUCGUCUGCAAUCCAUGCUAACCGCGGGUGCUGUACCGGGUUCGCGCUCCUGAACGAGAGUGUCUUGAAGAGGUAGCUGAACUCCUCAUAUGACAGGUUGUUGAGGAAGAUUGGCUCAACGGUUCCUAGUCGUUCUGUACUUUUAAGCCGGCUGAUGAUGAUCACCUUGCUUCCACUGUCCAUGCUUGUUGCAACGGAUGAACAGAACUUGGCCCAAUCCUCCUCGUCGACAUCUGGAACAAGCUCAACAACCACCAGUAUCUUGCCUGGCAAGAGGCUACGAUCAUGGUCUGCGAAUCUAGAGAAGGAAUCCCCAUUCAGGUGCAGAACCGAAGAGAAGUGUGAGCGGACCCUCUCGUCCUUGCAUCCAUGGGCGACCAGGGUCCUCUUCCCGGCCGUAGGAGCACCGAUGACCGGGAGAACAGCAGGCGCGUCACCAGGAGAGCCAUGCUGUAGCACGAAGUUCAGGAGCUUCUGCUUCUCAGCAUGUCGUCCGAACAUGAUGUUGUCAUUGUACAGAUACGCAUCGUAUGGUCGACGCAGCAUACGGUCGCACCCACCCAGAAGAACAACAAACUCCGUCAUGCCAGCGACUACAUCCUCCAAGCUCCAUCUUCAGUUCUCCGACCGACCGAAGGGUGCCAAUUAACCAGGGAAUCGAAUAGAGGGCAGGAGAAGGAGGUGGUGGUAAUUGCAGGCUGGCCGUGUUUCCUGUUCCUCUACCUGUAAAACGUUUGUACACUACUCUUUGUAGGUUUAGCGUUAUUGACCUGUACGUCAAUGGCCGUAGGUGCUGAAAAAUAUUGGUUAGGUAUGGACUACUCCGCCUCUAGCCUAUGAAGAUUACAUGCUGAUCUCAGCUUAUCUUUUCACACAUCAUGGAAAAAUCAUAGUGACUUCCUGACUGGGGAACUCCUUGUCAGUAGUAUGGACGACCAGGGAACUCCUUGUCCAGCAAACUUUUGAGAUGGGACAAUGACAAGGGUCAUACUUGUCUAUGUUCUUCUCUCUCUAGGAAGGCUUGUUACGGCAAUAUGGCCUGUUUAAAAUAGGUAUAAGAAAUGGAAAUACAAAUACAAGGGCAUAAAAGUCAUCAGGAAAGGUUGCCACCGCCAAUUAAAAUGCCCUUAAUUACCAGCUAACUAAGUCAGGCAACGAAAUUUUUAUGAACUUUACUACUAGUGGUAAGGAAGGGCAAGAUUUUUCAGGCGGGGUAAACAAUGUCACAGGUCGUAACUACAAGAUAAAAGGAAGUGUAAUUUACUCUCUUUUUUAUCGACACGUCUUCAAAAGAAACUAAGCAAGUUGGAAAUGAAGAUAGCGACAAUUGAAUGGUGAUAGCGACAAGUGACAUUUACCUUAGGCGGACGGCGGUGUGGACAAUCGAGUGCAAUCGCUUGGCGAAGAAGACCUUGAUGAAUUGCAUCUAGCUUGCCGAAAGCUCAGGAGGUUGACUAGAAAAUUUCUUCACCUGUCAUAGUUGUUCCUUUGGCUAUGAUGGAGCACCUGUCCAUCAUAGUUUGUCCAUCUCACCUCCCCAACAGGAUGGUUUGUUCACACAGCAAGAAAAAUAUCUGCUCACCUGUCACUAUAAAACAGGUUCUUGUCCCAGACAUCAACUGUGAACGUGAGACUCUGACCAGGGGAGUUUAUUGACUGAAACAUAGGUGGCAAUAUAGAAUAAUACCAAUGACUUGUACUGUCCAUAUGUAAACUGCAUCUUGGCCUCCUACACCACCUAGCUUAGAACACCUCAAGAUGGAUCUUGCCAUAUCAGCUAUCACAGGGGAUCUGGCUAAUCGAAUCAUCUCUUUUCUGAUGAGCGAAUACAUGGAUCACGUAUGCUCGGAGGAGAAGGUGGAGAGGCUACAACAACUCUUGCUGAGAAUUGGCAUGGUCGUCGAGGAGGCGGACUCACGAUACAUCACCAUGCUCAUACAGCUGAAGACGCUGGUGGCAGCCAUGUACCAAGGCCACCAUGUGCUUGAUACCAUCAAGUACAGGAAACAUAAGGAAUUGAUAUGUGACUCAUCGGCACUAUCUAUUCCCACUCCUAACAAACGUACACGCACACUCGUUAGUAGUGCAUCACACAAGGUUUUCAACUCAGGGCUAAUAAGAACUCUGCAAAACCUAGAGGCCGGUGUUGCUAACAUGGCGGAGUUUGUCAUCCUUUUGGGCGGAUGCGAGCGCAUCUCCCGUAGACCCUAUGAUGCAUAUCUUUACAUCGACAACUUCAUAUUUGGCCGCCAUGUCGAGAAGCAGCAGAUCAUCAGGUUCUUGCUGCACCACAACACCCCAGGUUCUCUGGCCGUGCUUCCAAUCAUUGGUGAUGCUGGAGUUGGGAACAAAACUCUUGUCACCCAUGUAUGCGAUGUUGAGAGAGUGCGUUCUCACUUUUCUAUGAUUUUGCACCUGAAUGGAGAUGAUCUUUUCAGAAUUACAGACCAUGAAAGACUAUCAGGGAGGAUAUUAGUAGUUGUUGAGUUUGCUUCAGAUGUAGAUGAAGAUGACUGGACAACGUUCUAUCAUUUUGUUACGAAUAUGGAGAGGAAGUAAAGUGAUAAUCUUGGGUCAAAGCGCAGGCUUGGAGAAGUUUGGAACCAUCAAGCCUGUUUCUCUGAACUCCCUGGCAUUCGAUGAGUACAUGUACCUAUUCAAGACACUCGCAUUCGGAAGUACAAACCCGGCAGACUACCCGCGGCUAGCAGCGAUGGUGGAAGAGUUCGCCACGGUGUUGGGAGGGUCAUUUAUCGCAGCGAAUGGCUUGCAGAUGCACUGCGGAAAAACUCGAGUGCUCAUUUCUGGCUGUACAGGUUGAAGGGUGCCAGAGACUCUGUCAAUAAGGACAUCUCUUGUUUUGGUACCCACCCGCAGGUGCUUCUUAGUCGAGGCCAACUGGUACACCUAAUCGGCCGCUACAUUUUAACUCCUGCUGCUCCAUCAGGCAUUGUAAACUCUGCUAUUGGUAUGGCUAAUGUUCCAGAGGAGCAGGGUCUACCUAGGAUUAUGUUUGGGGACCUAAUAGCAGCAGCAGGUCACGCUGUCUUACCCAAAGGAGAUUUUAGGCUAAUUUCAUGGGAAUCAAGGCUGCCGCCUUACACUUCAUUUUCUCACUUGGUGCACGCUGUGCCGAGUUGCGUCCAUGACAAGCCUGAAACAUCCUUGUCAGGGAAGAAGCGUCCAGGUCUAUUUNNNNNNNNNNNNNNNNNNNNNNNNNNNNNNNNNNNNNNNNNNNNNNNNNNNNNNNNNNNNNNNNNNNNNNNNNNNNNNNNNNNNNNNNNNNNNNNNNNNNAGUAGUGCAUCACACAAGGUUUUCAACUCAGGGCUAAUAAGAACUCUGCAAAACCUAGAGGCCGGUGUUGCUAACAUGGCGGAGUUUGUCAUCCUUUUGGGCGGAUGCGAGCGCAUCUCCCGUAGACCCUAUGAUGCAUAUCUUUACAUCGACAACUUCAUAUUUGGCCGCCAUGUCGAGAAGCAGCAGAUCAUCAGGUUCUUGCUGCACCACAACACCCCAGGUUCUCUGGCCGUGCUUCCAAUCAUUGGUGAUGCUGGAGUUGGGAACAAAACUCUUGUCACCCAUGUAUGCGAUGUUGAGAGAGUGCGUUCUCACUUUUCUAUGAUUUUGCACCUGAAUGGAGAUGAUCUUUUCAGAAUUACAGACCAUGAAAGACUAUCAGGGAGGAUAUUAGUAGUUGUUGAGUUUGCUUCAGAUGUAGAUGAAGAUGACUGGACAACGUUCUAUCAUUUUGUUACGAAUAUGGAGAGGAAGUAAAGUGAUAAUCUUGGGUCAAAGCGCAGGCUUGGAGAAGUUUGGAACCAUCAAGCCUGUUUCUCUGAACUCCCUGGCAUUCGAUGAGUACAUGUACCUAUUCAAGACACUCGCAUUCGGAAGUACAAACCCGGCAGACUACCCGCGGCUAGCAGCGAUGGUGGAAGAGUUCGCCACGGUGUUGGGAGGGUCAUUUAUCGCAGCGAAUGGCUUGCAGAUGCACUGCGGAAAAACUCGAGUGCUCAUUUCUGGCUGUACAGGUUGAAGGGUGCCAGAGACUCUGUCAAUAAGGACAUCUCUUGUUUUGGUACCCACCCGCAGGUGCUUCUUAGUCGAGGCCAACUGGUACACCUAAUCGGCCGCUACAUUUUAACUCCUGCUGCUCCAUCAGGCAUUGUAAACUCUGCUAUUGGUAUGGCUAAUGUUCCAGAGGAGCAGGGUCUACCUAGGAUUAUGUUUGGGGACCUAAUAGCAGCAGCAGGUCACGCUGUCUUACCCAAAGGAGAUUUUAGGCUAAUUUCAUGGGAAUCAAGGCUGCCGCCUUACACUUCAUUUUCUCACUUGGUGCACGCUGUGCCGAGUUGCGUCCAUGACAAGCCUGAAACAUCCUUGUCAGGGAAGAAGCGUCCAGGUCUAUUUGCCUACGUUUUUUUUCCAACUGGGCUCAACCCCUUUCCAUUAAUUUCACAAUCAACGGAAAUACUACAUCAGUCUGUAUCCACUUUGUCUUAGAGACCAAACCACUAACCAAGGUUGUCAGAAUCGCGAUUUUGAAUCGGAUCGGAGCUCUGAUGGUAAGAUCGCAAAUCGUAAAAUCUUCACUAUCAGGAUCGUAGAAACGUAGAUUCUAUGAACUAAAAUCGUAGAAUCAUAGGAGUUAGUUUGGAUCGUAAAGUCGUAGAAUCGUAUAACAAAAUCGCGAUUCUGACAACCUUGCCACUAACCACUAACAGAAUGGAAGAUACCGCCUCCUGUUUUUUGAGAGCUAAUGAAACUAAAAAGGGGGGAGCGAGUUGGUGUAUCAUCAGGAAACCCACCGCAGGACGAUCCUGGAACGGACCAUCCGCCAUGGGGCGAAAACCUGAUGACACUCACAAGCCACAGCCCAACGAAACAAAAGACCCAGGAUAAGAUAUGUUGGUAAACGUCUGCGACUAAGCGAACUACUGCCAGAAGACAUAAACCCAGCGGGCAUCAAACCCCAGUGGGGAACAGCGAGCAAAAGGAUCGAGCGCUGAACUUCUAGCCAAUCUGGAUCCCAUCUCUGUCUCCUAAGAGUGGCCUGCCUCGAGGAUGAGAUCUGUCCACCAGCGCAGCAGCCGCGUGAGCCAACCUCUUCACUCCAACUUGGAGCUUCACCUUUUCAUCUUCCUUUAGCAAACCUGCCCAAUACAUCAGAAACGAGCAGGCGGUGAAAACAGCCUCCAGAGGAGAACGAACAACAUGGUUAUCAAACGUAACUUUAUUGCGGAGGGUCCAAAUCCCCCAUCAUAUUGCAGCAAUAAUCAUCAUGUAAAAAAGCUUCCCGCCCGGAAAAAACUUAUAAAGCCAAGCGAAGCUCUGCCAGAGAGAACGAGGACAGCAGGAUGCUCCAGCCGUCAUGCCCAACACUCCCCAGACCGAACAAGCAAGCGAGCAAGUAAAAAACAAAUGAUUUGCUGUCUCAACGUCAGUACAGAAGGAACACAUGGGGUUUCCAGACCAGUUCCUGAUACGCAUAUUAUCCCGAGUAAGAACUGCAUUCUGAAACAGCUGCCAAAGGAAGAUUUUAAUUUUCAGCGGGAUAGGUGCUUUCCACACCAUCUUAUAGUUAGGGCAUGAUAAAUUCCUUUCCAAUCAUUCAUAUAAGGAUUUAGUAGUAAAUUUCCCUUUGCUGCCAAGGCCCCAUAGAAUCUUAUCUGGGGAGUCGUUCAACGACAGUUUUUUUAGCUUCCAUAACCAUCCAAGCCCACUGCUCGCCCAACUCCCCAACUAGGCUACGCCUAAAGCCAAG
This 41441-nucleotide long non-coding RNA is filed under the name Triticum aestivum (bread wheat). RNAcentral describes it as "long non-coding RNA (TAES_LNC024906)". The record is from RNAcentral. Lineage: Eukaryota; Viridiplantae; Streptophyta; Magnoliopsida; Poales; Poaceae.